AUGCACGCCCCGCCGCCGUCCCGUAUGCCGCAGGCGCAGGCGAGGUUAGGCGUAGCCAGGCGUGGCAAGGCGAGGCUGGGGCGAGGCGAGUCGACGGGCGCGGCUGGGCAUGUGCGCCGGAGGAGCACGAGCCCACCACGGCGGAGCACCGACGCCAGAGGGGGACGAGCCCGCCUGUGCUCUCCUGCUGUGCGCGCGGGAGCGGGCACGGCCAGGAGCUGCUCCAGCUCUCGAGCCGGGUGGGCGGGCGGGUGGGAGAAGAAGGAGGAAAAGGAGGAGAAAGAUGGGAUGGGACAGAUGGGUGGAUGCGGGGUCGUGUUCAUCUCCGUAGGCCCAAUCUUCGAGGCCCCGAACGCGACGGUUCGAGUGGCGCACACUGAGUUCGACCCGAGCGAGCUCACCUACGACUGCGGCGACCUCGACGUGGCCGUGAAGAAGCUGACUCGGUCGGAGGCCGGCAACAACGCGUUCCUGGCGGUGUCGUCGUGCGGGCGGUGGGUGGUGUUCUGGUCGGGCCGGGAGGGCCACAAGAACCUCUACAUCGUCGAUGCAGCGCCCAGGGAGGAGAUGGUAUGGAGGGUCACGGGCGGCCAGUGGAUCGAAACGAUGCCGAGCUGGUCGCCGGACGAGAAGCUGAUCGCGCUCUCCUCCAACUGGCACGAAGCGGCCACCACCGCGGUGUUCAACAUCUACUAG
This 696-nucleotide ribosomal RNA is filed under the name Triticum aestivum (bread wheat). RNAcentral's name for it is "partial small subunit ribosomal RNA". The record is from RNAcentral. Lineage: Eukaryota; Viridiplantae; Streptophyta; Magnoliopsida; Poales; Poaceae.